Molecule: long non-coding RNA, 459 nt
Organism: Corapipo altera (White-ruffed manakin)
Lineage: Eukaryota; Metazoa; Chordata; Aves; Passeriformes; Pipridae
Exons: 3
Source: RefSeq, a predicted model, not a curated record
UGUUGCCAGAUUCUUCCUCUUCUGCAGUCCCUCACUUUUAGUGCUUCUUUCGUCAUGUUCAUCUUUUAUGGGUGUCUGUACUCCAGGCUUUGACAGGAGGUUGCUGAGGGUUUGAAAAAACAUUUGGCAGGGCCCUGUGUCACUCAGCACUGGCCAUGAGGAACAAUACCAGACAUUUGCUGCUGGGAGCAAGAGGAAAUCUGUUCAGCUGAGGCCUCUGAAGCCUGUUAGCUCGGUGUGCUUAAGUGAUUUUCUGGCAACAGAUCUGGAGAGUGAGACAGGAGCCAAAACAGAAACACAGCAGGAAGUAAAGGAGCAAACAGAAAGGAGGUUUGUGGACAGGUACUUGAAAUGUGCUGUUCUUUAAAUGCCAGGAAAGUAGAUCAGAUUUAGGGCCAGAAAAAGGAGAGAGAGUGGUGAGAAAUGUUGAAAAAAGGGAAGUUUGCUAUUGCUGGUCCU